This 31-nucleotide non-coding RNA is filed under the name Homo sapiens (human). The record is from RNAcentral. Lineage: Eukaryota; Metazoa; Chordata; Mammalia; Primates; Hominidae.
UGGUGAGUUGGACUCUGUAAGGAAUUUUUUA